GCGGGAAUAGCUCAGUUGGUAGAGCGCAACCUUGCCAAGGUUGAGGUCGCGAGUUCGAGCCUCGUUUCCCGCUCCA
RNAcentral lists this transfer RNA (76 nucleotides) under Vitreoscilla sp. RNAcentral describes it as "tRNA-Gly". It matches the Rfam family "tRNA". From Rfam's summary of the family: Transfer RNA (tRNA) molecules are approximately 80 nucleotides in length. Lineage: Bacteria; Pseudomonadati; Pseudomonadota; Betaproteobacteria; Neisseriales; Neisseriaceae. The record is from RNAcentral. RNAcentral also lists the same sequence under 944 other names.